Molecule: non-coding RNA, 118 nt
Organism: Prosthecochloris aestuarii DSM 271
Lineage: Bacteria; Pseudomonadati; Chlorobiota; Chlorobiia; Chlorobiales; Chlorobiaceae
Source: Rfam
GGAGGUGGGCCCUCCGGAAUCGCCGUACAGGCGGAGAUUCCAAAUCACCUGCUGCUGCUGCAUUUAAGAGGUGUGGUGGUGAGCGAGCCAGGAAAAGGCGGGAUAAGAUCCUGUCAGA